This 2758-nucleotide long non-coding RNA is filed under the name Coffea arabica (coffee). RNAcentral describes it as "long non-coding RNA (CARA_LNC008072)". The record is from RNAcentral. Lineage: Eukaryota; Viridiplantae; Streptophyta; Magnoliopsida; Gentianales; Rubiaceae.
GAACUUUACUUCGCUUCUGUGCUUGCUGGCUAUAGGGCUUUUUUCUUUACUGAAUUGAAAGAGAAUUUUAUUAAAUAUCUCCUUUUAUUAGAAAGAAUCAAUCACACCUGAAGCCUCUUUUGAGAGCUAAAAGUAAGGAAUUCUUUUGGAACUUUAUGGUUAAGGAGAACCUUUAAGAGCUUGCUAAUGUUGCUCAUGUUUCCACUGCUGCUAGAGCUAAUGAUUUUCUUUUUUCUACAAUUGCUGUUACAGCACUUCUAUCCAUUCUGUAUUCCGCUGUGUAUGGGAAACUCGUAAAAUGAUGGGUAUGCUAUGAGCACACAGAAAGAGAAGCAGUCAUUUCAUCCACCGCUUUUCUACUGAUAUAGUUCCUUUUGCUGCAAACGAACUGAGAUCCUACCUUUUAGUCACUUUUGAAAUAAACUAUUUCCUUACAGACUUUCUAUUUCUUUCCUUAUCUAUGUAAUUACUUAAAAGAGAGUACCAAUCUCCAUCCUAGUGCAUAUUUCCUUCCACAGUCAAAGAUUGGUCCUCUGUUUUUUUUUCAGCAUCAGGGGAUAAGAGAUCCCCUCUUGGAUAUGCAAACAAGAGAAUCGGCCAUACGGAUGCCCUUAGUGGCCUUGAGAUUACCAUAACGAAGAUCUCAACUAUGCCAUCGAAAGAGAGUUUUCGUAGGUUAAGUCAUUCUAAAAAUCAAGCGGGAAUGCAAAAUCAAAGAAUGCCGACUCUGAUCUUUCAAAAGAUCGUGAUUCAAAGGAUAAGUCAGUCUUUGAUGCUCUUUAUUCCUUCUCAAAAGAAAAUGCCAUUUAACAAAGACGGACUGGACUCUCCCGUACUGAAGGCAACGCAAAGUUGCCAAUGCUUCUAGUGCGAAUCUUGCUUUCGAAAGGAUCUUCGCCUAGUGUACUCUCUGUUCUUUCUAGUCUGGGUCUGCUUUGCCAAUGCACUGAUAGCUAUGAUUCUUCGAUCUCGAAAGUGAAAAGAUAAGGAUUGGAUGCUGUUCAAAGAUCUCCCCUGCUUACCUUUAGCGGGGAUCAAAACUACUUAAUAUAAAGAAUAUUUAAAUAAUAAGGAAGGAUAGCUUCCCAUGCCAUGACCAGAGUUCACAGUCGAUUCUCUAAAAGGAAAAGCAAAGAGCGGUAAUGCCUCCUGGUCAAUAGGGCUAUUCAAACCAAUCCACCCGGAGCCUAGUAAGCUACACUCCGCUCACUCUCCACAGCAGACUUCGAUGCAGGACAAGCGCUCAACCUCAAAAGCAGAGCGAUACGCUCACUCACCGCAACUGAGGAGAAAGAGCGAGAGCCACUCGACUUCAAGGAAGCGAAGCGAGUUUACGAGGUUCUGAAAGAAACAUAAGCAAAGGUUUUUCCCUCAGAUCUAAAAGAGGGUAAGCAACUAGGAUAGCAUAAUUCCCUGCACGGAAAAGCAGGUAAAAGCAUCAACAAAACAGGCCUUAGCCGACAGAUGGAAGGUUUUGAAUGAUUACUUGAGCCAGGAAAGCAGAUAAUAUAAAAUUGGCUGACUUGAAAGCGGUGGGUAAGAGUUUCAAUUAAAAGGCUCCAGAAGGAACUGCAAUCACUGAACCUUCAGCUGAUUAGAAAGCCGAUUAGACAGCUAGCUAAGAGAAUAAAACGAAAUGAAUGCUAGACUGAAUCGAAAGCAGCCGACAGGGUUGGAGGUAGUACCAAAAUAAGGGGAGGAUGAGGGGCUCUCAAGGCUGUUCUCGAAACAGGUCGAGAUCCAGACCAGACUAUUGACACCGAGGAAGAUGAAUCAAAGCAAGCUCUUAGAGGAGACCUUAGUCUUGGCCAGAUGUUGAGCUUCCAACCAUUUUCGACACUGAUGAGCCUUUGACUAACUGGACCCUUAUUAGCCACCCGCUCUACCACUGAGCUACUGAAACGGGCUUUUUAAAAAUCGGUUUGCUAAAUCGAUAUAAUAUACAAGAAGAUUGUAUCAUGGAAUCCCAUAGGAGCUACUACAUAACCAUGUAGAUGCAGGUUACGGUAUCAGAUCAGACGACCAAGAAUUUCGAAAGGCUAGAAUGAAGAACAAAUUCUCGAACUCUCGAACAGCCCCUUUCCAGUGAGCUAGUUUUGCUUUUGGUUAAUUGGUUAGCCAGCCAAAGGGAGUGACGGAUUGGUCGGAGGUAGAUGGAAUAACUAGUAGUCAAAAGAUAAGCAUAGUCAGAGUAGCAUAUGUUCUCUCUCGUAGUCCGCGUAAAGGGGGAAGGUUCAGUGUCGGCUACCAAUUCAUGUAUUGAGGUAUGUAAUCAUAUUCUCUUGAGCUUAACAGAAGCAACUAUGUUCUCAUGACGCUGCCUUGUGAUCAUACCCCAGAACCUUCAUCUCUCAAGAGCUUAAUAGGAUUAGGCCCCCCUCUUAACUUUAUCCUUCUUGUGAGAUCAAAAAGCCAAGCUGACUUAGAGCCAGAGGGAUUUCAUACUUUCUUGUCAUUUCCCUAGCUUAAUGCCUUCUUCUUAUCUGUGAACUAGUGGAAUUCCGGUUCACCCUCGGUGUGAUUGCUCCCAUCCAAUCCUUUGAGUUCGAUCCCUUGACUCUGAAAGAACCUAAGGCAGUGGAUUCGGGAUCUAUUCUCUCCAAGCCGGAAAUAAAGAGUGAACUGGAAAAGGGCUUGUAAUCAAAGGGACUAAAGAAAGGAUUUUUCCUUCUUGCAUUGUCUGAAUCUGACUCACAAGGAGACCAGAGAGAACUCAAAGAAGAACUAAGACAAGCUUACCUCGAUUUCAGAAGUACCU